This 468-nucleotide ribosomal RNA is filed under the name uncultured bacterium. Its description in RNAcentral is "partial 16S ribosomal RNA". It matches the Rfam family "Bacterial small subunit ribosomal RNA", at positions 28 to 507 of the family's 1533-position model. The record is from RNAcentral.
GACGAACGCUGGCGGCGUGCUUAACACAUGCAAGUCGAACGGAAAGGCCCUGCUUUUGUGGGGUGCUCGAGUGGCGAACGGGUGAGUAACACGUGAGUAACCUGCCCUUUACUUUGGGAUAACUUCAGGAAACUGGGGCUAAUACCGGAUAGGAGCUCCUGCUGCAUGGUGGGGGUUGGAAAGUUUCGGCGGUUGGGGAUGGACUCGCGGCUUAUCAGCUUGUUGGUGGGGUAGUGGCUUACCAAGGCUUUGACGGGUAGCCGGCCUGAGAGGGUGACCGGCAAAAUGGGGAAGGAGAAAAGGCCAAGACUACUAGGGGAGGAAGAAGUGGGGAAUAUGGAACAAGGGGAGGAAGCACGAAGAAGAAAAGCCGAGGGCGGGAUCACGGAAUCCGGGAUGUAAACCGCUUUCGCCUGAGACGAAGCGAGAGAGACGGUAAUGGGUAAAGAAGAAACGGAUAACUAUGUG